CUAAUAUCACAUAUAUCCUAGGUUUAUUUAUAAUAUGUCUCAUUGCCAUAAAGUGCUUUACGACCUGGACGCUGGCGUGACCAGCUCGUCAAGCCUGGUUACAGCAUCUCUAACGGUUUUUCUAAAUUCGAGUCUCCAAAAAUUUAUUUGACCAACUCUUCAUUUUAUUUAUCAAGUCAAACUCAUUAUUUACGGCCUCUAAAUUCAAAUCUCCAAAAGCCUAGUUACAACCUCUUCAUCCUUCAUCUUUAUUUUGAGUAUAUGUAAAUAGGAUCCACGUGUCAGCCUAUACACCAUUCUUCUUCAUCUUACACGACCUGAGAGCUGAGGAAAUACAGUGCUAGUCCGUGCAAGGGGAUGACACAUCAAAACUCAAAACAAAAAUUGCAGUGGUCAGCACAGCAAGCAACUUCUCGUAUCCGUAGGCGCCAAGCAAUAGUACUGCACCUUAAUCUGUGGAGAUCAGCUGCUUCGACUAUUAUUCAACGCAAUCCACGUGCUGCGCCGCCGAUUAUUUCGGGUCCAUGAUCAUCUCACAUUCUCACGUACCAAUUCCUCCG
This 560-nucleotide long non-coding RNA is filed under the name Oryza brachyantha (malo sina). RNAcentral's name for it is "long non-coding RNA (OBRA_LNC000969)". Lineage: Eukaryota; Viridiplantae; Streptophyta; Magnoliopsida; Poales; Poaceae. The record is from RNAcentral.